Xiphophorus maculatus (southern platyfish) is the source of this 62-nucleotide non-coding RNA. NCBI's taxonomy places the organism in Eukaryota, Metazoa, Chordata, Actinopteri, Cyprinodontiformes, Poeciliidae. The record is from Rfam.
UGGUUUUUUUAGGUUUUGAUUUUUGUAGCGUUGGAUGAGAAAAUCAAAACCUAAAGAAAAUA